AGAGUUUGAUCAUGGCUCAGGACGAACGCUGGCGGCGUGCCUAAUGCAUGCAAGUCGAGCGGGCUACGAUCUUCGGAUUGUAGCUUAGCGGCGAACGGGUGAGUAACACGUAGGUGAUCUACCCUUCAGAGGAGGACAACCUCAGGAAACUGAGGCUAAACCUUCAUACGUUCACUGGUAGGGAUACUGGUGAAGAAAGAGUUACCUUAGUGGUAGCUGCUGAAGGAUGAGCCUGCGGCCCAUCAGGUAGUUGGUGAGGUAACGGCUCACCAAGCCGAAGACGGGUAACCGGUCUGAGAGGAUGUCCGGUCACACUGGGACUGAGACACGGCCCAGACUCCUACGGGAGGCAGCAGCAGGGAAUCUUGGGCAAUGGGCGAAAGCCUGACCCAGCGACGCCGCGUGGAGGAAGAAGUCCUUCGGGGCGUAAACUCCUGGACUGGGGGACGAGGAAGGACGGUACCCCAGUAGAAAGGGACGGCUAACUACGUGCCAGCAGCCGCGGUAAAACGUAGGUCCCGAGCGUUGUUCGGAUUCACUGGGUGUAAAGGGCGCGUAGGUGGUUGUCUGUGUCUCAUGUGAAAACUCAGGGCUCAACUCUGAGAUUGCGUGGGAAACUAGGCAGCUAGAGGACGGUAGAGGGGAGUGGAAUUCCCGGUGUAGCGGUAAAAUGCGUAGAUAUCGGGAGGAACACCGGUGGCGAAGGCGGCUCUCUGGGCCGAUCCUGACGCUGAGGCGCGAAAGCUAGGGGAGCGAACCGGAUUAGAUACCCGGGUAGUCCUAGCCGUAAACGAUGGGUGCUAGGUGUUGGGGGGGUAAAGACCCUUCAGUGCCGAAGCCAACGCGAUAAGCAUCCCACCUGGGGAGUACGGCCGCAAGGUUGAAACUCAAUGAAUUGACGG
RNAcentral lists this ribosomal RNA (902 nucleotides) under uncultured bacterium. RNAcentral describes it as "bacterial SSU rRNA". It matches the Rfam family "Bacterial small subunit ribosomal RNA", at positions 8 to 916 of the family's 1533-position model. The record is from RNAcentral.